UAAGAGAGAGAGAGAAGUUUUUAUUUUAGACAUGAUAUUUAAUUACAAGUUUUCUCACAAUUGGCUGGAAAAGCUUGUUUUAAUUUUAUUUUAGAAAAUAGACAUUGGUGGGAGCAGAGAAUGAGUUGAGAUAGUGGAUAUGUAAACCAAAUCUCAGUAUGAGGAUUUAAUUGAAUAUGUGACAGACUAGUCUAGUUCUGUGUGUCCCUGUGAGGCGAGGGGGUUUCCUGCUGUAAGGCACUUGCAGCGUUCAGCCUGGGCGUUUUCGAUUUGAGCUUGCUGUCUUUUUUUUUUUUUUUUUUACUCAAUGAGUGUCCUUUAUUUAACCCCGUCGAUUCAUAAAGUUCUCUGCGGUGCAAUUGGGACUGCCCUGUCAUAUGACUAAGCCUGUGAUUGGUCAGCAGCUAAUUGGCGGUUCUCUAUAAGAACUCCCUGCAUUAGAGCUAACUGAAGCUUUCCUCUCUUCCACUGCUGAAUUACCCGUAGAUUGUAACUCUGAGAUUAGAGUGAUUCAGCAACAUGUGAUAACAAAGUUAUCAGUGCUGUGGGUUUGGCCAAGCUGUUGACAGACAGUAAAGCCUGCUGAAGCCAACUUGGAUUAAUGAGCGUCACCUAUGAACUGGAAUGAAAUGCUGAUAGCUCCUUACUUUGGAGAGUGACUGAAAGAAAACAGAUCAUUCAUACAGUAUACAACAAAGGCAUUUUAUAAUCUGAUUUGUCUACCUGUGAUGAAGAAUUUUAGUUAAUGGAAGCUGCAGCAGUCUGUCACCAGGAAAUAUACUGCUUUAUUCAGAAUGGGUCCCAGGAGGUGUUGCGGAAGGGCAAAGGAGGCUGGACAUCUCCUCUACACUCUCACAACUCCUGCAGUUCCUAGGGCUAGGCAACUUUUCCAACUCGCCUCCAUGUGCAAUGACUUCCAAGGGGUAGCUGUGGCAGCUGGGGACUGCUGGAGCACACUGCACUCUGACCAUGCCUUCCUCCCCUUACAAAUCUACUGCGGUAUGGUACGGAGCCAGCAAUGCCAGUUCUACACCCCCUGGAAUUCUCCUACACCAGAGCUUGAAGGCUCUUUUGUGCUGCUAGAAAAACCUAAAGCAGCCUUAUCAGGGCUGAGCAGCCACCCCCUUGUCUUCGUCCUCACCUGCAAAGCAUCUAGCCUGCUAUGA
This 1166-nucleotide long non-coding RNA is filed under the name Chrysemys picta bellii (western painted turtle). RNAcentral's name for it is "lncRNA (ENSCPBG00000019951.1)". The record is from RNAcentral. Lineage: Eukaryota; Metazoa; Chordata; Testudines; Emydidae.